UGCGUAGGCGGGUUUUUAAGUCAGGGUGAAAUUCUGGAGCUCAACUCCAGAACUGCCUUUGAUACUGAAGAUCUUGAGUCCGGGAGAGGUGAGUGGAACUGCGAGUGUAGAGGUGAAAUUCGUAGAUAUUCGCAAGAACACCAGUGGCGAAGGCGGCUCACUGGCCCGGUACUGACGCUGAGGCACGAAAGCGUGGGAGCAAACA
Molecule: ribosomal RNA, 205 nt
Filed under: uncultured bacterium
Lineage: Bacteria
Description: partial 16S ribosomal RNA
Rfam family: Bacterial small subunit ribosomal RNA
Source: RNAcentral